Molecule: long non-coding RNA, 426 nt
Organism: Bombina bombina (fire-bellied toad)
Lineage: Eukaryota; Metazoa; Chordata; Amphibia; Anura; Bombinatoridae
Exons: 3
Source: RefSeq, a predicted model, not a curated record
UAGGGGCUAUAGGAAGCAAUUGAAGGGAUUGGCAGAGUGGUGCAGCAAAAGAAGAGUAACAUCAAAUACCUGAGAAUGCUGCAUCUGCACUGACCGAUAAUACUCACUCUCCAUUGUGCCGUGCCUACAGAGGUCAGAGGUUGGAGCGGCAGCACGCUGAGGACGCCGAGGAACAAGGCUUUUACAGUGAACAUAAGAUGAUCUCUUACGCACCACGUCCCUGGUAGCCUACUAUGGGUAUUUGGUGUAUUUGAUCGUAUUGAAUUGUUAUUGCUGGGUGCACUCAACAUUAGCGAGCUGUGCUGAGCACUAUGGAGAACACAUGGAUGUGGAAGAGGCCCAGGCCAAUCGCAAGUAGAUGGCAUACAAGCUGCCCUCCGCUAUGAGCACCUAUCACUAAGAGUGGAUAAUAAAUAACAAUCAUGG